UACGUAGGGUGCGAGCGUUGCCCGGAUUUACUGGGCGUAAAGGGCGCGUAGGCGGCACCGCAAGUCGACUGUGAAAUCUCCGGGCUUAACUCGGAAAGGUCAGCUGAUACUGCGGGGCUAGAGUGCAGAAGGGGCAACUGGAAUUCUCGGUGUAGCGGUGAAAUGCGUAGAUAUCGAGAGGAACACCUGCGGCGAAGGCGGGUUGCUGGGCUGACACUGACGCUGAUGCGCGAAAGCUAGGGGAGCGAACGGG
RNAcentral lists this ribosomal RNA (253 nucleotides) under uncultured bacterium. Its description in RNAcentral is "partial 16S ribosomal RNA". It matches the Rfam family "Bacterial small subunit ribosomal RNA", at positions 524 to 776 of the family's 1533-position model. The record is from RNAcentral.